UUUUUCCGCCCCGCCCGGAAAGGGUGGAGCACAACGUCGAAAGCAGCCGUUGGGAGCCCAGGAGGCGGGGCGCCUGUGGGAGCCGUGGAGGGAACUUUCCCAGUCCCCGAGGCGGAUCCGGUGUUGCAUCCUUGGAGCGAGCUGAGAGCUCGAGAACCUGCUAAGGCCAUCAAACCUAUUGAUCGGAAGUCAGUCCAUCAGAUUUGCUCUGGGCCGGUGGUACCGAGUCUAAGCACUGCGGUGAAGGAGUUAGUAGAAAACAGUCUGGAUGCUGGUGCCACUAAUAUUGAUCUAAAGCUUAAGGACUAUGGAGUGGAUCUCAUUGAAGUUUCAGGCAAUGGAUGUGGGGUAGAAGAAGAAAACUUCGAAGGCUUAACUCUGAAACAUCACACAUCUAAGAUUCAAGAGUUUGCCGACCUACCUCAGGUUGAAACUUUUGGCUUUCGGGGGGAAGCUCUGAGCUCACUUUGUGCACUGAGUGAGUGAGCGCUCAUGGGAUCUGGUUGUUUAGAAGCAUGCACCACCUCCCGCUUCACUCUCUCUGUCUCUCCUGCUCCACCAUGGCCAGAAACGUGCCUGCUUCCCCUUCGCCUUCUGCCGUGAUUGUCAGUUUCCUGAGGCCUCCCCAGCCAUGCUUCCUGUACAGCCUGCAGAACUGACUCCUAGAAGUACCCCACCCCACCCCUGCUCCUUGGAGGACAACGUGAUCACUGUAUUCAGCUCUGUCAAGAAUGGUCCAGGUUCUUCUAGAUGAUCUGCACAAAUGGCUCCUCUCCUCCUUCCUGAUGUCUGCCAUUAGCACUGGAAUAAAGUUCCUGCUGAAAAUCCA
This 829-nucleotide long non-coding RNA is filed under the name Homo sapiens (human). RNAcentral's name for it is "novel transcript". The record is from RNAcentral. Lineage: Eukaryota; Metazoa; Chordata; Mammalia; Primates; Hominidae.